UACGUAGGGUGCGAGCGUUGUCCGGAAUUAUUGGGCGUAAAGAGCUCGUAGGCGGUUUGUUGCGUCGGCCGUGAAAACCUGCAGCUUAACUGUGGGCCUGCGGCCGAUACGGGCAGACUUGAGUUCGGUAGGGGAGACUGGAAUUCCUGGUGUAGCGGUGAAAUGCGCAGAUAUCAGGAGGAACACCAGCGGCGAAGGCGGCGCGCUGGGCCGGAACUGACGCUGAGGAGCGAAAGCGUGGGUAGCAAACAGG
RNAcentral lists this ribosomal RNA (253 nucleotides) under uncultured bacterium. RNAcentral's name for it is "partial 16S ribosomal RNA". It matches the Rfam family "Bacterial small subunit ribosomal RNA", at positions 524 to 776 of the family's 1533-position model. The record is from RNAcentral.